GAUGAACGCUGGCUACAGGCUUAACACAUGCAAGUCGAGGGGAAACGGCAUUGAGUGCUUGCACUGAAUGGACGUCGACCGGCGCACGGGUGAGUAACGCGUAUCCAACCUUCCCGUUACUGCGGGAUAACCUGCCGAAAGGCAGACUAAUACCGCAUGUUCUUCGAUGACGGCAUCAGAUUCGAAGCAAAGAUCCGUCGGUAACGGAGGGGGAUGCGUCUGAUUAGCUUGUUGGCGGGGCGACGGCCCACCAAGGCGACGAUCAGUAGGGGUUCUGAGAGGAAGGUCCCCCACAUUGGAACUGAGACACGGUCCAAACUCCUACGGGAGGCAGCAGUGAGGAAUAUUGGUCAAUGGGCGGAAGCCUGAACCAGCCAAGUAGCGUGCAGGAUGACGGCCCUACGGGUUGUAAACUGCUUUUAUGCGGGGAUAAAGUGAGGGACGCGUCCCUUUUUGCAGGUACCGCAUGAAUAAGGACCGGCUAAUUCCGUGCCAGCAGCCGCGGUAAUACGGAAGGUCCGGGCGUUAUCCGGAUUUAUUGGGUUUAAAGGGAGCGUAGGCCAGGGAUUAAGUGUGUUGUGAAAUGUAGGCGCCCAACGUCUGACUUGCAGCGCAUACUGGUUCCCUUGAGUACGCGCAACGCCGGCGGAAUUCGUCGUGUAGCGGUGAAAUGCUUAGAUAUGACGAAGAACCCCGAUUGCGAAGGCAGCCGGCGGGAGCGCAACUGACGCUGAAGCUCGAAGGUGCGGGUAUCGAACAGG
Molecule: ribosomal RNA, 761 nt
Filed under: uncultured Prevotella sp.
Lineage: Bacteria; Pseudomonadati; Bacteroidota; Bacteroidia; Bacteroidales; Prevotellaceae
Description: bacterial SSU rRNA
Rfam family: Bacterial small subunit ribosomal RNA
Source: RNAcentral